AACAGGAUUAGAUACCCUGGUAGUCCACGCCGUAAACGAUGUCGACUUGGAGGUUGUGCCCUUGAGGCGUGGCUUCCGGAGCUAACGCGUUAAGUCGACCGCCUGGGGAGUACGGCCGCAAGGUUAAAACUCAAAUGAAUUGACGGGGGCCCGCACAAGCGGUGGAGCAUGUGGUUUAAUUCGAUGCAACGCGAAGAACCUUACCUGGUCUUGACAUCCACAGAACUUUCCAGAGAUGGAUUGGUGCCUUCGGGAACUGUGAGACAGGUGCUGCAUGGCUGUCGUCAGCUCGUGUUGUGAAAUAUUGGGUUAAGUCCCGCAACGAGCGCAACCCUUAUCCUUUGUUGCCAGCGGUCCGGCCGGGAACUCAAAGGAGACUGCCAGUGAUAAACUGGAGGAAGGUGGGGAUGACGUCAAGUCAUCAUGGCCCUUACGACCAGGGCUACACACGUGCUACAAUGGCGCAUACAAAGAGAAGCGACCUCGCGAGAGCAAGCGGACCUCAUAAAGUGCGUCGUAGUCCGGAUUGGAGUCUGCAACUCGACUCCAUGAAGUCGGAAUCGCUAGUAAUCGUGGAUCAGAAUGCCACGGUGAAUACGUUCCCGGGCCUUGUACACACCGCCCGUCACACCAUGGGAGUGGGUUGCAAAAGAAGUAGGUAGCUUAACCUUCGGGAGGGCGCUUACCACUUUGUGAUUCAUGACUGGGGUGAAGUCGUAACAAGGUAACC
This 730-nucleotide ribosomal RNA is filed under the name uncultured bacterium. RNAcentral describes it as "bacterial SSU rRNA". It matches the Rfam family "Bacterial small subunit ribosomal RNA", at positions 771 to 1501 of the family's 1533-position model. The record is from RNAcentral.